Molecule: ribosomal RNA, 2169 nt
Filed under: Triticum aestivum (bread wheat)
Lineage: Eukaryota; Viridiplantae; Streptophyta; Magnoliopsida; Poales; Poaceae
Description: partial small subunit ribosomal RNA
Source: RNAcentral
AUGUGGAUCACAUUCACUUUAUGCUUGAAAGGAAUAACUCCGUUGGGCACAUUGACAUCGCCUCUGCUAGCCUACAUAUCACAUUCAGAUGGGGACGGAUUGCAAUGCAGAGAAAUAUGGGAGUGGAGACCGGAUAAUUCAGUUUUUGCAGCAGAUCAUGUCCUGGGAGGAGAUGAUGGGUGCUCACCUUUCUCCUGUGGGCAUCUCCAAGACAUACGACCCCCUUUCCGUCGGCGAGGUGAUCCUCUUGAGUGCGGUGUUGAAGCAUACGAGCUGGGUUGUACCAGUAGCAAGGCUACAAUUCACAUCAACACAGGAACAUACUAUGUGACUGCCAUCAACUACACCGGUUCCUACUUCUGGGCCAUGGAUCCCAACUUCAAUACCAGUAGCAGCUGCCCUCUUCCACCGUGGAAUCAUGUUCCUUACGUUGGACACUACGGAAUUGAUUCAAUUUCACCACCUGGCUUUCGGUAUUUGGUCCCUCAAAGCUAUGAAGCAGCUUGUUUUGCUAAUUGUUCGCAAGCAGUAACGAAUAAUAGUGCAUACAAGCCCGUUGCUUGCCUGAGUGCCAACAAUUCACAUGUUUAUGUCUGGGUGUCUAAUUACACGUACUGUGCGGUUGAAGAUCUUGAAUCUUAUUGUGGAUACCUGGCAGAGAUUCCAUUUGGUAACGAGUAUUCUCCUGAUUGGCGACAGCUGCAGAAUGCAAGUUAUGCAGAUAUCACACAAUUCACAAGUAAGGGGUUUACUGUCCGAUUUCCUGUGGACACCAUUUACAGGAGGCCUUCUACUUCUGUGAUGUUAAGAAAGAACAUCAAUUUAUGCCUCAACAAUUCAAUCAGCUACUUCAAGGAGCAAAUAUUUGGCACAAGCAUUGUUAAUUGGACUCAUGCUAUUUUCUGGAGUGAGGUGCACUUCUUAGAAUGCGUGACUCAGAGCUCUAACAAUCACUACUACACAACAAAGUUGGUUUUGAUUGUUGCAACCAUAGUAUCUGCUAUUGCUAUCCCAAAGUUCUUUUUUGUAAUGUGCAGGUUCUUGUUGGCACCCCUGGCUGUAUGGAUAUUCCUAGCCUACAAGUACAUGAAAACAAGGCUCAUAAUUGAUGCAGUUGAGAAUUUCCUCAGGAUUCAACAAAUGAUUGGCCCGGCGAGGUACUCCUACACAGAUAUAGUUGCAGUCACAAGCCAUUUCAGAGAUAAAUUGGGCCAAGGGUGCUACGGCUCUGUGUACAAGGGCGUGCUACUCCCAGGCGGCGUCCAUGUCGCCGUCAAGAUGCUAGAGGGCAAUUCCAACUGCAAUGGAGAAGAUUUCAUCAGCGAGGUCUCCACCAUCGGCAGGAUCCACCACGUCAACGUGGUGCGUUUAGUGGGGUUCUGCUCAGAGGAAAUGCGAAGGGCCUUAGUCUACGAGUACAUGCCCAAUGGUUCUCUGGACAAGUACAUCUUCUCUACCGAGAAGAGCUUCUCAUGGGACAAGCUCAACGAGAUCGCUUUGGGCAUUGCCAGGGGGAUCAACUACUUACAUCAGGGGUGCGACAUGCAGAUUCUGCACUUUGACAUCAAGCCGCACAACAUCCUUCUUGACAGCAAUUUCAUCCCAAAGGUCGCCGAUUUUGGGCUCGCCAAGCUGUACCCUAAGGGAGACAGUUUCGUGCCACUGAGUGCCAUGCGGGGAACCAUAGGCUACAUAGCCCCCGAGAUGAUAUCCCGGAGCUUCGGCGUCAUAUCUAGCAAGUCCGACGUGUACAGCUUCGGGAUGUUGCUGCUGGAGAUGGCCGGCGGGAGAAGGAACGCUGAUCCAAAGAUGGGGUCCUCAAGCCAGGCGUACUACCCAUCAUGGGUGUAUGACCAGCUGACUCAAGAAGAAGCGGGCGAGAUAUCUCCGGUUGCUGCCAACAUGCACGAGCUGGAGAAGAAGCUGUGCGUUGUCGCAUUAUGGUGUAUUCAGAUGAGGUCUCGUGAUCGGCCGACGAUGAGCGAGGUCAUUCAGAUCCUGGAGGCUGGAGCUGAUGGCCUACAGAUGCCUUCGAGGCCGUUUUUCUGCGACGAAGGGCACAUCCACGUAGAGGACUCUUACCAUUUCACUUCGGAGCUGACAGCGGUCUCGGAGGAGGAAUUGACCGUGGUAUCGGAGGAAGACGACGGUGAGAUAUACAGUGUGUGA